RNAcentral lists this ribosomal RNA (253 nucleotides) under uncultured bacterium. Its description in RNAcentral is "partial 16S ribosomal RNA". It matches the Rfam family "Archaeal small subunit ribosomal RNA", at positions 474 to 727 of the family's 1478-position model. The record is from RNAcentral.
UACCAGCACCCCGAGUGGUCGGGACGUUUAUUGGGCCUAAAGCAUCCGUAGCCGGUUCUACAAGUCUUCCGUUAAAUCCACCUGCUUAACAGAUGGGCUGCGGAAGAUACUAUGGAGCUAGGAGGCGGGAGAGGCAAGCGGUACUCGAUGGGUAGGGGUAAAAUCCGUUGAUCCAUUGAAGACCACCAGUGGCGAAGGCGGCUUCCUGGUCUGCAACUGACGCUGUGGCGCGAAAGCUAGGGGAGCAAACGGG